This 440-nucleotide ribosomal RNA is filed under the name uncultured bacterium. Its description in RNAcentral is "partial 16S ribosomal RNA". It matches the Rfam family "Bacterial small subunit ribosomal RNA", at positions 338 to 795 of the family's 1533-position model. The record is from RNAcentral.
CCUACGGGAGGCAGCAGUGGGGGAUAUUGCACAAUGGGGGAAACCCUGAUGCAGCGACGCCGCGUGUGGGAAGACGGUCCUCUGGAUUGUAAACCACUGUCCCCAGGGACGAAGAUGACGGUAUCUGGGGAGGAAGCUCCGGCCAAAUACGUGCCAGCAGCCGCGGUAAUACGUAGGGAGCGAGCGUUGUCCGGAAUUACUGGGUGUAACGGGAGCGUAGGCGGGGAUGCAAGUUGGGGGUAAAAACUACCGGCUGAACUGGUAGUCGCACUCAAAACUGCAGCUCUUGAGUGAAGUAGAGGCAGGCGGAAUGCCUAGUGUAGCGGUGAAAUGCGUAGAUAUUAGGAAGAACACCAGUGGCGAAGGCGGCCUGCUGGGCUUUUACUGACGCUGAGGCUCGAAAGUGUGGGGAGCAAACAGGAUUAGAUACCCCGGUAGUC